AAAAGACAUUCAAGAAAGAACCAUAUGGUGAAAGGGACAAUAGGAAAACUUGUCUUUAGUUUCUUGACAGUACAAGGUCUCUAGGAAAGUAGGAAUGCCAAAUUGUUCAAAGUGGGGGUAUUAAAUAUUAUCUCUUACACAAUGGAAUUACAGGAUUUUAGUAUUCUCAUUCCUGCUUUGGUAUAGCUAAUAUGAAUUCAUACUUGUAUCAGUUUGACCUGCUGAUUUGUGUAUUGGCUGAAAUGGCUGUAGUUGAGGGGAGAGAGAGAGAGAGAUAGGAAGAAGAGGUGGGAGAGAGAGAGGCAUAUGUGGAUGGGUUAGUAGCUGGAGACUCAUACUUUUCUCAGUUUUUUAUUUUAUUUAUGAAACAUGUAUAUCCUAACCCUUUA
RNAcentral lists this unclassified non-coding RNA (389 nucleotides) under Hevea brasiliensis (rubber tree). The record is from RNAcentral. Lineage: Eukaryota; Viridiplantae; Streptophyta; Magnoliopsida; Malpighiales; Euphorbiaceae.